UACAGAGGGUGCAAGCGUUGUUCGGAAUUAUUGGGCGUAAAGCGCGUGUAGGCGGCUUGCCAAGUCGGGUGUGAAAGCCCUCAGCUUAACUGAGGAAGUGCGCCCGAAACUGUCGAGCUUGAGUACGAAAGAGGGUCGCGGAAUUCCCGGUGUAGAGGUGAAAUUCGUAGAUAUCGGGAGGAACACCGGUGGCGAAGGCGGCGACCUGGGUCGAGACUGACGCUGAGGCGCGAAAGCGUGGGGAGCAAACAGG
Molecule: ribosomal RNA, 253 nt
Filed under: uncultured bacterium
Lineage: Bacteria
Description: partial 16S ribosomal RNA
Rfam family: Bacterial small subunit ribosomal RNA
Source: RNAcentral